This 30-nucleotide non-coding RNA is filed under the name Mus musculus (house mouse). Lineage: Eukaryota; Metazoa; Chordata; Mammalia; Rodentia; Muridae. The record is from RNAcentral.
UACCAGACUGGGUGACACCCCGUGAAUGCC